This is a long non-coding RNA of Etheostoma spectabile (orangethroat darter), 150 nucleotides long. RefSeq lists it as uncharacterized. The transcript has 3 exons. Lineage: Eukaryota; Metazoa; Chordata; Actinopteri; Perciformes; Percidae. The record is from RefSeq and is a predicted model, not a curated record.
UGAUUUCAUUUGUAAUACCGCCUCGCUUUUGUAGUUAUGGCCCUGUGGCUCAGCAUUAAAGGAAGUUUUCUCAGAUGGGUGGUGUCUUUCUAGUUACAUAAUUCAUUGUUUCCCCUAUAAUGAUGCUCCAAAUUGAUGCCUACUGUUAGC